This is a long non-coding RNA of Sebastes umbrosus (honeycomb rockfish), 673 nucleotides long. RefSeq lists it as uncharacterized. The record is from RefSeq and is a predicted model, not a curated record. NCBI's taxonomy places the organism in Eukaryota, Metazoa, Chordata, Actinopteri, Perciformes, Sebastidae. The transcript is spliced from 5 exons.
UUGUUUGGGGAGAGAGUUUUGUUUUUGUUUUCUGAGGAAAGACGGAGGAGUAAAGUUGGAGACGGACAGCCUUCUGGAGAAAAUAACCACAUUAAGCUUCUUCUCAUGUUGAGACCUCGACCGACUGAAGACAGCAAGGAAACCAGCACCGAGGACCAGGAAGCCAGGAAGCCAGGAAGCCAGAAAGCCAGAAAGCCAGAAAGCCAGAAAGCCGACCAUUGAGCAGCAAAUCAGGCCAAAAUCUGAUAUGUCUUCUUCCAUCUAACUCUUCUGGAGUCUUCUACUACAGCUCAUGAACUCUGCCUGCGAGCAUGGAUAUGAAGCUGAUCAAGGUGUCCUUCUCUGUUUACCUCUGUCUCUUCCUGUCCUCACCACAAACCCAGCAGCAGAAGAAAAAAAAAACAGAAAAUGCUGACUACGCAGGAAGGCAGUGACAAGCAGCGAGGCCCGUGAUUGGCCGGGGCCUUAAUCAGCUGUCUGGACUUCAUGGUCCUGAUGAAGACACCUGGAAACAACCUUCAGACCAGGAGCUUCACUGGAUGCUCACUUGGACAUGUCAUCACUGUCAGGAGACACAUCUCCAGAUAUAAAAAUCAUCAACAUCGAUCUCUUCAUCCCUUAUCCACCCCUCAACCUCCACCCAUCAUCCUCCCUGAAUAAAUGGUUAACUGGC